CCUACGGGAGGCAGCAGUGGGGAAUUUUCCGCAAUGGGCGAAAGCCUGACGGAGCAAUACCGCGUGAGGGAGGAAGGCUCUUGGGUUGUAAACCUCUUUUUUCAGGGAAGAUAAUGACGGUACCUGAGGAAUAAGCAUCGGCUAACUCCGUGCCAGCAGCCGCGGUAAUACGGAGGAUGCAAGCGUUAUCCGGAAUGAUUGGGCGUAAAGCGUCCGCAGGUGGUUUUAAAAGUCUGUUGUUAAAGCGUGAGGCUUAACCUCAUAAGGGCAAUGGAAACUGUAAGACUAGAGUACGUUCGGGGCAAGGGGAAUUCCCAGUGUAGCGGUGAAAUGCGUAGAGAUUGGGAAGAACGCCGGUGGCGAAAGCGCCUUGCUAGGCCGUAACUGACACUGAGGGACGAAAGCUAGGGGAGCGAAUGGGAUUAGAUACCCCAGUAGUCCUAGCCGUAAACGAUGGAUACUAGGCGUUGUCUGUAUCGACCCGGACAGUGCCGUAGCUAACGCGUUAAGUAUCCCGCCUGGGGAGUACGCACGCAAGUGUGAAACUCAAAGGAAUUGACGGCUGAGANGCAGCGACACGAGGAGAG
Molecule: ribosomal RNA, 587 nt
Filed under: uncultured bacterium
Lineage: Bacteria
Description: bacterial SSU rRNA
Rfam family: Bacterial small subunit ribosomal RNA
Source: RNAcentral